CUUGAUUCAUUUGAGUUAAAUUUGUUCACCCAAUAUAAUCCUAUUUUAUCUCAUUGUCAUCAUUGUGUCUUCUGAAGGAUUAAUAUGAUCACUGUCAACAAAUGAUUGUGAUAAAUUGCUCGUUCAAGAACAAGCAACCCGUAGCCACGUUCCAUAUUCAUCAAUCCACACAAUGUCAAUGGGAGGAUAUCAUUAACUCUUU
This 202-nucleotide long non-coding RNA is filed under the name Gossypium raimondii (Peruvian cotton). Its description in RNAcentral is "long non-coding RNA (GRAI_LNC000356)". Lineage: Eukaryota; Viridiplantae; Streptophyta; Magnoliopsida; Malvales; Malvaceae. The record is from RNAcentral.